This 1373-nucleotide ribosomal RNA is filed under the name Salmonella enterica. RNAcentral describes it as "partial 23S ribosomal RNA". It matches the Rfam family "Bacterial large subunit ribosomal RNA", at positions 1292 to 2648 of the family's 2925-position model. Lineage: Bacteria; Pseudomonadati; Pseudomonadota; Gammaproteobacteria; Enterobacterales; Enterobacteriaceae. The record is from RNAcentral.
GAAUGCUGACAUAAGUAACGAUAAAGCGGGUGAAAAGCCCGCUCGCCGGAAGACCAAGGGUUCCUGUCCAACGUUAAUCGGGGCAGGGUGAGUCGACCCCUAAGGCGAGGCCGAAAGGCGUAGUCGAUGGGAAACGGGUUAAUAUUCCCGUACUUGGUGUUACUGCGAAGGGGGGACGGAGAAGGCUAUGUUGGCCGGGCGACGGUUGUCCCGGUUUAAGCGUGUAGGUGUGUGUUCCAGGUAAAUCCGGUUCACUUUAACACUGAGGCGUGACGACGAGGCACUACGGUGCUGAAGCAACAAAUGCCCUGCUUCCAGGAAAAGCCUCUAAGCAUCAGGUAACAUCAAAUCGUACCCCAAACCGACACAGGUGGUCAGGUAGAGAAUACCAAGGCGCUUGAGAGAACUCGGGUGAAGGAACUAGGCAAAAUGGUGCCGUAACUUCGGGAGAAGGCACGCUGACACGUAGGUGAAGUGAUUUACUCAUGGAGCUGAAGUCAGUCGAAGAUACCAGCUGGCUGCAACUGUUUAUUAAAAACACAGCACUGUGCAAACACGAAAGUGGACGUAUACGGUGUGACGCCUGCCCGGUGCCGGAAGGUUAAUUGAUGGGGUCAGCGCAAGCGAAGCUCCUGAUCGAAGCCCCGGUAAACGGCGGCCGUAACUAUAACGGUCCUAAGGUAGCGAAAUUCCUUGUCGGGUAAGUUCCGACCUGCACGAAUGGCGUAAUGAUGGCCAGGCUGUCUCCACCCGAGACUCAGUGAAAUUGAACUCGCUGUGAAGAUGCAGUGUACCCGCGGCAAGACGGAAAGACCCCGUGAACCUUUACUAUAGCUUGACACUGAACAUUGAGCCUUGAUGUGUAGGAUAGGUGGGAGGCUUUGAAGUGUGGACGCCAGUCUGCAUGGAGCCGACCUUGAAAUACCACCCUUUAAUGUUUGAUGUUCUAACGUGGACCCGUUACCCGGGUUGCGGACAGUGUCUGGUGGGUAGUUUGACUGGGGCGGUCUCCUCCUAAAGAGUAACGGAGGAGCACGAAGGUUGGCUAAUCCUGGUCGGACAUCAGGAGGUUAGUGCAAUGGCAUAAGCCAGCUUGACUGCGAGCGUGACGGCGCGAGCAGGUGCGAAAGCAGGUCAUAGUGAUCCGGUGGUUCUGAAUGGAAGGGCCAUCGCUCAACGGAUAAAAGGUACUCCGGGGAUAACAGGCUGAUACCGCCCAAGAGUUCAUAUCGACGGCGGUGUUUGGCACCUCGAUGUCGGCUCAUCACAUCCUGGGGCUGAAGUAGGUCCCAAGGGUAUGGCUGUUCGCCAUUUAAAGUGGUACGCGAGCUGGGUUUAGAACGUCGUGAGACAGUUCGGUCCCUAUCUGCCGU